CCUCCUCGCCGGAAGACCAAGGGUUCCUGUCCAACGUUAAUCGGGGCAGGGUAAGUCGACCCCUAAGGCGAGGCCGAAAGGCGUAGUCGAUGGGAAACGGGUUAAUAUUCCCGUACUUCUUACAAUUGCGAUGGGGGGACGGAGAAGGCUAGGUGGGCCUGGCGACGGUUGUCCAGGUUCAAGUGCGUAGGCUUAAGAGUUAGGUAAAUCCGGCUCUUUUUAAGGCUGAGACACGACGUCGAGCACCUACGGGUGUGAAGUCAUUGAUGCCAUGCUUCCAGGAAAAGCCUCUAAGCUUCAGAUUGUAAGGAAUCGUACCCCAAACCGACACAGGUGGUCGGGUAGAGAAUACCAAGGCGCUUGAGAGAACUCGGGUGAAGGAACUAGGCAAAAUGGUACCGUAACUUCGGGAGAAGGUACGCUCUUGAUGGUGAAGUCCCUCGCGGAUGGAGCUGACGAGAGUCGCAGAUACCAGGUGGCUGCAACUGUUUAUUAAAAACACAGCACUGUGCAAAAUCGUAAGAUGACGUAUACGGUGUGACGCCUGCCCGGUGCCGGAAGGUUAAUUGAUGGGGUUAGACUUCGGUCGAAGCUCUUGAUCGAAGCCCCGGUAAACGGCGGCCGUAACUAUAACGGUCCUAAGGUAGCGAAAUUCCUUGUCGGGUAAGUU
This 670-nucleotide ribosomal RNA is filed under the name Vibrio parahaemolyticus. RNAcentral describes it as "partial 23S ribosomal RNA". It matches the Rfam family "Bacterial large subunit ribosomal RNA", at positions 1329 to 1982 of the family's 2925-position model. Lineage: Bacteria; Pseudomonadati; Pseudomonadota; Gammaproteobacteria; Vibrionales; Vibrionaceae. The record is from RNAcentral.